AUGCAGUUGCCGGCAUGGGCGUUGAAGAUUAUUAACAAGAGGUGUCGGGGCUUCUUAUGGAAGGGCGACAAUGAUAUUAAUGGGGGACACUGUCUCUUGCCAUGGUCACGGGUAUGCAUGCCCAAAGAAUAUGGGGGCCUGGGUGUUUUGAAUCUUAAAUGGUUCGGGUACGCCCUUUGUUGUCGCUGGCCGUGUCUGCGAUGGGAGGCGGAAGAGAGGCCAUGGAGCCUGCUGCCAGAUGAGAUGGAAAAGGAAAUGUCUUCCAUGUUUAAAACAACCACGGUAAUAUGCCUAGGAAACGGUCAAAGGGCCAAGUUUUGGACUGACAAAUGGCUGCCAGGUGGGUGCUCCAUUGAUGAGAUGGCCCCUGCCUUGUUCUCCUUUGUCAAUGACGCUGGUCGCUCGGUGAAAGAAGCCCUUGACAAUGGAGCCUGGAUAAGGGAGAUCUCGGGAGGCAUUUCAGCAUAG
RNAcentral lists this ribosomal RNA (468 nucleotides) under Triticum aestivum (bread wheat). RNAcentral's name for it is "partial small subunit ribosomal RNA". Lineage: Eukaryota; Viridiplantae; Streptophyta; Magnoliopsida; Poales; Poaceae. The record is from RNAcentral.